This 589-nucleotide ribosomal RNA is filed under the name uncultured bacterium. RNAcentral describes it as "partial 16S ribosomal RNA". It matches the Rfam family "Bacterial small subunit ribosomal RNA", at positions 355 to 1376 of the family's 1533-position model. The record is from RNAcentral.
UGGGGAAUUUUGGACGAAUUGGGCGCAAGCCUGAUCCAGCCAUGCCGCGUGCGGGAAGAAGGCCUUCGGGUUGUAAACCGCUUUUGUCAGGGAAGAAAUCUUCUGAGUUAAUACCUCGGGAGGAUGACGGUACCUGAAGAAUAAGCACCGGCUAACUACGUGCCAGCAGCCGCGGUAAUACGUAGGGUGCAAGCGUUAAUCGGAAUUACUGGGCGUAAAGCGUGCGCAGGCGGUUUUGUAAGACAGAGGUGAAAUCCCCGGCUCAACCUGGGAACUGCCUUUGUGACUGCAAGGCUUGAGUGCGGCAGAGGGGGAUGGAAUUCCGCGUGUAGCAGUGAAAUGCGUAGAUAUGCGGAGGAAACACCGAUGGCGAAGGCAAUCCCCUGGGCCUGCACUGACGCUCAUGCACGAAAGCGUGGGGAGCAAACAGGAUUAGAUACCCUGGUAGUCCACGCCCUAAAACGAUGUCAACUGGUUGUUGGGAAGGUUCCUUCUCAGUAACGUAGCUAACGCGUGAAGUUGACCGCCUGGGGAGUACGGCCGCAAGGUUGAAACUCAAAUGAAUUGACGGGGUCAUAGCUGUUUCCUG